UACGAGGGGGGCGAGCGUUGUUCGGAAUUAUUGGGUUUAAAGGGUGCGUAGGCGGCCUUGUAAGUCAGGGGUGAAAGACGGUAGCUCAACUAUCGCAGUGCCUUUGAUACUGCAGGGCUUGAAUGUACUUGAGGUAGGCGGAAUGUGACAAGUAGCGGUGAAAUGCAUAGAUAUGUCACAGAACACCAAUUGCGAAGGCAGCUUACUAAAGUAUGAUUGACGCUGAGGCACGAAAGCGUGGGGAUCAAACAGG
This 253-nucleotide ribosomal RNA is filed under the name uncultured bacterium. Its description in RNAcentral is "partial 16S ribosomal RNA". It matches the Rfam family "Bacterial small subunit ribosomal RNA", at positions 524 to 776 of the family's 1533-position model. The record is from RNAcentral.